This is a non-coding RNA of Pelobates cultripes (western spadefoot toad), 214 nucleotides long. The record is from the annotation of a GenBank genome assembly. NCBI's taxonomy places the organism in Eukaryota, Metazoa, Chordata, Amphibia, Anura, Pelobatidae.
CAAACACUCUGCAUUCAUUAUAUACACACACACUACACAAACACUCUGCAUUCAUUAUAUACACACACACUACACAAACACUCUGCAUUCAUUAUAUACACACACACUACACAAACACUCUGCAUUCAUUAUAUACACACACACACUACACAAACACACUGCAUUCACUUAACGCACUACAUUCACUAUAUAUACACACUACACAAACACACAC